Molecule: ribosomal RNA, 338 nt
Filed under: Pseudomonas sp. E11_ICE14
Lineage: Bacteria; Pseudomonadati; Pseudomonadota; Gammaproteobacteria; Pseudomonadales; Pseudomonadaceae
Description: bacterial SSU rRNA
Rfam family: Bacterial small subunit ribosomal RNA
Source: RNAcentral
GGAGGCAGCAGUGGGGAAUAUUGGACAAUGGGCGAAAGCCUGAAUCCCAGCCAUGCCGCGUGUGUGAAGAAGGUUCUUCGGAUUGUAAAGCACUUUAAGUUGGGAGGAAAGGGCAUUUACCUAAUACGGUGAUUGUUCUUGACGUUACCGACAGAAUAAGCACCGGCUAACUCUGUGCCAGCAGCCGCGGUAAUACAGAGGGUGCCAAGCGUUAAUCGGAAAUUACUGGGCGUAAAGCGCGCGUAGGUGGUUUGUUAAGUUGAAUGUGAAAUCCCCGGGCUCAACCUGGGAACUGCAUCCAAAACUGGCAAGCUAGAGUAUGGUAGAGGGUAGUGGAA